This 2136-nucleotide long non-coding RNA is filed under the name Homo sapiens (human). RNAcentral describes it as "HSALNT0402830". The record is from RNAcentral. Lineage: Eukaryota; Metazoa; Chordata; Mammalia; Primates; Hominidae.
GAAAUGAGAUUGCAGUGCACAUGGGGUUCUGCCACUCACAGUGUAGGAUGUUUCACCAUGUCUUCCUGAAAUGAUUUGCAAAUAGUCAAGAACAAAUGACUGUGGUGAUAGAGAUGUAUUUAUUGCUGCCACCUUGUUCCCACUUCACCGUUGCAUAUUUGUACACAGGACACAUAUUUAUUCUUUUAAGUUUAGAUUUUACUGAGAAAUGAGGACCUUAUCUGGACUUCACUGGGAGAAUUAUGAGUGGCCAGAGAUACUACAUUUUGAGCUGGAUGCCAGACCUUGAAAGAACUCUGCAUUUUUCAUUUUGAGAGAAGUCAGUGUGUUUUAUAAUGGGAGGAAGAUUAAAGCAGGUAUUUUGGCAUCAGAAGGACUGACCUUGACAGAGAUUGGUGAGGUUACUUCCUUGCUCCUGAAAAUGAUGAUGUUCUAUUUUCUACUAUUUGUGUCUAAAAAUUUAAACAGGUCCUGAGAAGAGGAUUAGAAAAAGGCAACACAUCAAAAAGUUAAGAGGCAGAAAUAGCUUUUAUGUUGCUGGUAAAUUUAAUGAGAUCUUAAGUUAUUAGACUGGCAAGUCUCAUCUCUUUGAGCAUCUCAGUGAAGACUGUCAGAAAUCAUCAAAAUUCAACACAACAGAGUAAAAGCUAAUAGCCUUUUUGUUAUACCAAAACUGAAAGGAUUGAUGUUCUUAAGUAACAAAAAGCAAUAAAGAUAAAAUACAGGACAUCAAAGAUAUCACAUACAUUCAUAUAUCUCAAGAAAUGAAAGCAAUGAAAGAGCUGUGGUCAGCCAAAGAGGAGCAAAGAGUCAUCUACCUCAAUCAUGUUCAGGAAAUGAUCAGGUCAAGAUGUGGAGUGAGCAAGCUUUUCUCUUUUGUGCCACAUUUUCUGACCCAGUAUUUCAAGCUACCCAAGGUGCGAAAAAGAAAGAAGGCCGAAGGGAAGAAGGUGGUGCUCACCCUUGCUGUCUUGAAAAAGCAGGAGACCAUGAAAGUGGUGAAUCUUCCAUUUGAGAAAUUUGGCACUGGACAGGACAUUUUGGCAUUGGACAGAACAUCCAGCCCAAAAGGGACCUCACUUACUUUGUCAAAUGGCCCCAUUAUACUAGGUUGCAGCAGCAGAGAGCCAUCCUCUAUAAACAGCUAGAAGUGCCUUCUGUGAUUAAUCAGUUCACCAGGGCCUUGGACCACCAAACAGCUGCUCAAUGGGGGCCCAGUGCAAAAUGACGUGGAUGUUGUACCUCGUUCAAAGUGUUAAGCGUUUCAAGAUGGCAACAGCAGAGCAUUAGGCCAAGUAUGAGGUCAUUAUGUACAUGGGUCCUUGUGUGACCACACAGGUCACAGGAACAUGAAGCUAGACCUGAGUGUAUAUUCAGAUAGGUAAAUCUUACAGAUUUUUAAAACUCAAUAAAAGAAAAACUACAUUUCAUGUGUGAACACAAAAAUUGGAAUUAAAUUGGCAAUAGCAUUGGGAUUUGUGCUCAGAGUCACAGUUUACAUCUGACCACAAUUUCUAUAUGAAUUUUUUAAGAUAAAACAGUAAGAAUUUUAGAGAAGGUUUCUGAAAUUUAAAAAUUAUAAUAACAUAAUUAACUUUGAUAUUUUAAUUCCAUGUAAUUUAAAACAUUUAAUAGAUAUAUAAUGUUCCACUAUUAAUUUAACUAGAAGUAUAAAAAUAAAACAUAUAUAAUAAAAAUAUUCUACUGAUUUUUAAAUUAUCUAUAUUAUACUGAGUAAAAGAAAAUUUAGGAAUAUAAAUAAAUGAGCAUUUUUGAACAUGUAAAAAUAUUUUCUUGCUGUUUUUAGGAGACUUUUAGCAGGACAGGAGCUUACCUCUCAUCUACCUCUGCUUGGACAAACCAGUGAUGUGAUUUGCAAAUAGGCUGUAACUUCACCGAAAACACAUCACAGUAAAGAAAAGCAGUGACUUUCAGAGAAUUUGACCUAACUUAGAAUUUGUAAAAGAGAAAAGCAUUGUCCUUAUGCCUAAAGUACAUGACUGUUUCUUUUUAAGUUACAUGUAUAUUUACCUGACCAAUUUGUUUUACUCUGUAUUUUAAGUUAUCAGGUGAAAUGGUUUUGGAAUAAAUUAAUGAGUUGUUUGUUCUGAAUAAAUGUGCAUGUUACAAGUGCAA